AGGUACUCCAUUGUCUGAUGGAUCUGAGAACGCUGUCUGGGCUUGGUACCAAGAGCUGGUAUUUCACAGCAGCGACCGCCUCACAGACGAGCUGUGGGAAGCAGGAGGGAGACUCUCUCUUAGGGUGCCACUACUAUGGAGACACAGCUGGGCUGAACAAGAUUUGCUUCAAACGACAACAAGAGAGACAGAAAGUAUCUGGUUCAACCGCUGCCCGAGCAGGCAGGCACCAGAAGAGCUAGCAGCCAAUCCGGCCAUGCUCGAAGCCAGCUCUGCAGCUCAGCCAAUCAGUGACAUCAUUGCUUUCUUUAGCUUGCCCAUGGUGAUGUGAAGAUGAGAAGAAAUAGCAAGGCCCAACCAGUUCUUCAUCUGGAGACAGUUCAACGUUCUGCAAACCAGAUCUUCAGGAAUUUUACUGGGAUAAUUAUCCAAAUAAAUUGCAAGCAUUCUAUCCAAAUGGACAUCCAUAAAAAUUCAUCAGAGAGCAUUUUACUACUGAGCUGCAAAGAUGACAAGAGCACCUCAAAGGCAGCAGCCUCAAGGAGCAGCCAUGGCCCCAGACUUGUCGCACGGAUGCAGAAAACUUAAUGGAGGAGGCUGAGGUCAGAAUGGGAAGAGUUUUUAAAAAAUAAAAAGGGGAGCUAAUAUGUGAGGAACUGAUUGCUGUGCAUUAUUUUCCACUGAACAGACCUUCUUUUAACUUCUAAUCUCAAGCACAUAGCAGCUGUUGUUUUCAUAUUAAAGAUCAGUAAGUGUUUGUUGAAUGAAUGUAUAAAUUCUUCCCCAAUCUCUGUUCCAUGUAAUAAGAACUAAGUUAGCAUUCAAUUAUAAAGAGGACUUAGAAAGUCUGCAGACAUUUUUGAUCAAAAAUCCUUUUAACUGUCUUCUUAUGGUUCCCGGUAACACCUAAGCCCAAAAAACUCAGGUCAUUUCUUGCCUGUACUGUUGCAAUAGCCUCAUAAUAACUAGUCUUCUCCUUUAUCAACCACAGUCGUCUCCGCUACACAAAGAAGAGAGGGUGCUAAUCUAAAGUGUAAAUUAUUUUAAAUCAGCACCCUUCUUGUAAUUUCCCAGUGGUUUUUCCUGUCAUAAGAAUAACAUGCAAAAUUCCUUGCUUGCAAAGCCAGGUAUGACCUUGCCCCGUCUACCUUACUGGCAUCGUCUCUCAUGACUCUUCCCCUUUUUCACUCUCCAUCUUGCCUUUUCCCAACCAUGCCUGCUAGUGAGCCUUAGCCCUUGUGUUUUCUCUGCCAGGGAUGCAUGACUGGCUUCUUUACUUUAUUCUGAUCUCUCUGCUCAAAUGUCAUCUUUUUAGAGAUAGCUUUCCUAAACAUCUUUAAAAGUACCCCAUGAACUGUGAAACACCUUUCCUGCUUUUUCUUCAUAGUACUUAUCACUUCCUGAUAUUAUGUUAGACAACAAGCAAAUAAGUAUAUGCUGUUCCCACUAAAAUAUAAGCUCCAUUUGAACAGGAGCCUUGAUUAUUCCUGAGUAUACCCCUAGUGCCCAGAACCUAGUAGGGCUUUAAUAAAUAUUAGAUUCAUUUGUUGAAUGAAAAAAUGAAUGAAUAAUUGAAUAAAGAUAUCCAGGUAGAGUGUCCGGGCAGCCCAACCUAUGUGAAGCCAGUACAAGAAUGUUUCUGUGACAUAGUGAGCGCAAUUAUUCCUCUAAAUGAUGAACUUGCAUGAGUACACAAGGAUAAAAUUAAGCACGUAGUUUAGAUUUCUGCAAGUCUCUUCCUCAGAUUGAGGAAAAACAAAGAAAUUGAGCUUAUUCUCACCUCAUUCUUACAUGAACUAAAUCCAGAAUAAAGCAUCAUUUAAAUACCAAGCACAUCCCUACCUCAGCCACUCAUGGAAUACUUUAUCUGUAAAGGGACAGAUAGAUAGUAAAUAUUUUUGGCUUUGGGGACCGUACAGUCUGUGUCGCCACUACUCAGCACUUCUGUUGAGGUGUGGAAUCAGCCCUAGACAACACAUAAACAAAUGGGUGUGGCUGUGUUCCAAUAAAAUGUUAUUUAUAAAACUAGGAAAUCAGCAGAUUUAGUCCACAGGCUGUAGUUUGCUGACCCUUGAAUUAGAGAGUCUUCCCCAAAUCCUCUUCCCAAGUUAUUGAAAGAAUGCCCAUAGGACCAUAGCUCCCUCACCUGGUUCUUUCAAGAAAUGAGACAAAUUCAGGGAUGGUUGGAGGGUGGAACGCCUACCUGUGACAUGACUAUUGAGCCUGAUUUCUUUCCUUUUAUCUCUUUAAAGUGAGUCAGGUCUUAACUUUAAACUGUCUCUAAAGUGGCAAUAACUGGGCCAUGUCAAAUACUCCCAAUGACAAAAUUUCUUCUUGGAGAAUGAAUGAGGGUUGCAUACAGUGGUGUGUUGGUAAAUGUUUAGCAACUGGCUCUCUUACUGAUUUCUGUAGUGUAAAUUCUCCCAUCCUGGCCAUCUGAAACUACCAAUAUGAUGUCACUUGAUGUAGAGUUGGGAAAAGACAGUCUCUUGAAUAAGUAUGAGCUGGUUCCAGCCCACUGCUGAACACAUAUUUAAAAGCUACAAUAGCUCUGCUCACUGCCAUUGCAGAGUCUGGAGGAAAGAGUAGCAGGCUUGAUAGGAGCAAUUGGCUGAAUAAUCUUUUGCAAUGCCAAUAAAUAAUGAAAAAGUAUAUAAAUAUAACGCUGUAUAGAAAGCUCUCAAGUUCAGUGUUUGGUUAAAAUACAUACUCAGUAAAUGGUAGCUAUUAUUGUCUUAGUUUAAGUUAUUGCAAGCAUUAAAAUUAAAUGUUUAGCUACAGACUCAAUCCAGUUUUAAUGUCAUUGUGUUAAUAAGGCCUCUUAACAUUGAAGCAACAAAGAUAAAGGAAUUUUUUUGUAGCUAUUCACGAUUCUGCCCAGCUCAAGGUAAAGAUAGCAACAAAAUACUCCAACCAGAAUAAAAGAAGUCUCCACUUGACUGCAGCUCUUCGCAACACUUCACAAGGGUCAAGCUGUGUUAGUUUCCUUCAGUGUUAAACAGAAUGCAUCUUAAGAGAAUAGUUCAAUUAUUGAUUGAAUAGUAGGUUCAAGUUGACUAUAAUCCCAACUAAUACACUCUAAGACCAGGGAUGGGCCGACAGAAGGGUAAAGUUUUCCACUCAAGUCUCGAGGCAAACACUCAGAUAGAAGUAGUAAUAUGGAUGCCUUCUAUUAUUUGGUCACAUACAAUACUGUUCCAGCCCAGUUGUGCAAAACUGGUGAAAUAAAAGGCAAAAAUAUUGACAACAGUUUGGGUAACUGGAUUCCAAAAUGGGCAUCCAUCUAAGAGAAAUUAAUGAAAAAAAAGCAUAUGGACCUUGAAAUACAUUAAUACACAGUUUAGGUUUAAACACUCAGUUUUUAUUAGAAAAGACUAACUUAUCCUGUUUUGAACACUACAAAAGUGCUUUCUGAACCAUUUACUCUCAAACCUCCUCCACCCAUUCCCCUCCAUCUAUAACGCUUUCUGCACAUCUGUAAAAGGUAUGACUUAGUGUUUGGUCUGUGAAAUAAGGUUAAAAAGGAAGCAUUUCUUUUUACAUUCUAGCUAAUGUUGAUAUUUUUCUCAUGCUUCUAUUAGCACAUAAUUCAGAUACAUUAGUUUUGAAGUUUUGAAUCUUCUCUGCUUCUUGAGGGCUCUCUGUUCUAGAUCAACAUGAUCUGUGGAACACCAGCCAAGUCCUGGGCAGAACCCUCCCCGUUGUCCAAAUAUUACUGAAUCAGUUGAGUUUUCUCUGUUGUCAAUGAAUUAUUCCACAUGUUUCUUUGGCUACAUUUUUUUUGGCUUUCUGUUCACAGUAAAUAUAGCCUUUGUUUUUAAAAACUUCUAUUAUGAAAAUUCCAAAUAUAUGCAAAUUAGAGAGAAUAGCAUAAUGAACCUCUAUGUGCUUAUCACACAUAUAGGUUCAACUAAUUAAAUUAUAUCAAUUUAUGGCCAAUCUGGUUUCAUUUAUAACAUCAU
RNAcentral lists this long non-coding RNA (3962 nucleotides) under Homo sapiens (human). Its description in RNAcentral is "mir-99a-let-7c cluster host gene". Lineage: Eukaryota; Metazoa; Chordata; Mammalia; Primates; Hominidae. The record is from RNAcentral.